This 253-nucleotide ribosomal RNA is filed under the name uncultured bacterium. Its description in RNAcentral is "partial 16S ribosomal RNA". It matches the Rfam family "Bacterial small subunit ribosomal RNA", at positions 524 to 776 of the family's 1533-position model. The record is from RNAcentral.
UACGUAGGUGGCAAGCGUUGUCCGGAUUUACUGGGCGUAAAGAGCGCGCAGGCGGUCGUUCAAGUCGCGUGUGAAAGCCCCCGGCUCAACUGGGGAGGGUCACGCGAUACUGAUCGACUCGAAGGCAGGAGAGGGUAGUGGAAUUCCCGGUGUAGUGGUGAAAUUCGUAGAUAUUAGGAAGAACACCAGUGGCGAAGGCGGCUCACUGGUCCGGUACUGACGCUGAGGUGCGAAAGCGUGGGGAGCAAACAGG